GACGAACGCUGGCGGCGUGCUUAACACAUGCAAGUCGAACGGAAAGGCCCUGCUUUUGUGGGGUGCUCGAGUGGCGAACGGGUGAGUAACACGUGAGUAACCUGCCCUUGACUUUGGGAUAACUUCAGGAAACUGGGGCUAAUACCGGAUAGGAGCUCCUGCUGCAUGGUGGGGGUUGGAAAGUUUCGGCGGUUGGGGAUGGACUCGCGGCUUAUCAGCUUGUUGGUGGGGUAGUGGCUUACCAAGGCUUUGACGGGUAGCCGGCCUGAGAGGGGGACCGGGCACAUUGGGACUGAGAUACGGCCCAGUCUCCUACGGGAGGCAGCAGUGGGGAGUAUUGCACAAUGGGCGGAAGCCUGAUGCAGCAACGCCGCGUGCGGGAUGACGGCCUUCGGGUUGUAAACCGCUUUCGCCUGUGACGAAGCGUGAGUGACGGUAAUGGGUAAAGAGGCACCGGCUAACUACGUG
Molecule: ribosomal RNA, 468 nt
Filed under: uncultured bacterium
Lineage: Bacteria
Description: partial 16S ribosomal RNA
Rfam family: Bacterial small subunit ribosomal RNA
Source: RNAcentral